This 218-nucleotide long non-coding RNA is filed under the name Lathyrus oleraceus (garden pea). RNAcentral describes it as "Pisum sativum (pea) long non-coding RNA (PSAT_LNC003799)". The record is from RNAcentral. Lineage: Eukaryota; Viridiplantae; Streptophyta; Magnoliopsida; Fabales; Fabaceae.
UCCAAUUAAAUACUUGGUUCAGUAACUUCAUUUGGAGUGGUGUUAUCCUCAUCAGAAAAAUUUGCACAAUGGCAAGGUGAGUAGUUUGCAAACCUGUGGAUAAGGGCGGUUCUGGAAUCUGAUCAGCAAAGAAACUUAAUGACGCAUUGCCGCUUAAGCUAACUUGGGAGUUCAUGACCUGUUAGGAGGAGUGUGCAGUAGUUUGCAGAGCAAGAUAU